RNAcentral lists this ribosomal RNA (502 nucleotides) under uncultured bacterium. Its description in RNAcentral is "bacterial SSU rRNA". It matches the Rfam family "Bacterial small subunit ribosomal RNA", at positions 393 to 896 of the family's 1533-position model. The record is from RNAcentral.
CAUGCCGCGUGCAGGAUGAAGGCCUUCUGGGUUGUAAACUGCUUUUAUCAGGGAAGAAAACGCUCCUGCGGGAGUAACUGACGGUACCUGAUGAAUAAGCACCGGCUAACUCCGUGCCAGCAGCCGCGGUAAUACGGAGGGUGCAAGCGUUGUCCGGAUUUAUUGGGUUUAAAGGGUGCGUAGGCGGCCCGUUAAGUCAGCGGUGAAAUCCCACGGCUCAACCGUGGAACUGCCGUUGAUACUGGCGGGCUUGAGUUCGGUCGAGGCGGGCGGAACUGGUGGUGUAGCGGUGAAAUGCAUAGAUACCACCAAGAACCCCGAUUGCGUAGGCAGCUCGCUGGGCCGAAACUGACGCUGAGGCACGAAAGCGUGGGGAGCGAACAGGAUUAGAUACCCUGGUAGUCCACGCCGUANACGAUGAGUACUCGAUGUUGGCGAUACACAGCCAGCGUCCAAGCGAAAGCGUUAAGUACUCCACCUGGGGAGUACGCCCGCAAGGGUG